GAUGAACGCUGGCGGCGUGCCUAACACAUGCAAGUCGAGCGGAGAUACUGAAGUAGUAAUACGGAAGUAUUUUAGCGGCGGACGGGUGAGUAACACGUGAGUAAUCUGCCUUCUGCAGGGGAAUAACAUUGUGAAAACAGUGCUAAUACCGCAUGACAUAGCACCGGGGCAUCCCGGAGCUAUCAAAGGAGAAAUCCGGCAGAAGAUGAACUCGCGUCCGAUUAGCUAGUUGGCGGGUAAAGCCCACCAAGGCGACGAUCGGUAGCCGAACUGAGAGGUUGAUCGGCCACAUUGGGACUGAGACACGGCCCAGACUCCUACGGGUGGCAG
RNAcentral lists this ribosomal RNA (330 nucleotides) under uncultured Bacillota bacterium. RNAcentral's name for it is "bacterial SSU rRNA". It matches the Rfam family "Bacterial small subunit ribosomal RNA", at positions 28 to 351 of the family's 1533-position model. Lineage: Bacteria; Bacillati; Bacillota. The record is from RNAcentral.